GGAUAACUUACCCUUAGGACUGGGAUAACUCUGGGAAACUGGGGAUAAUACUGGAUAUUAGGCUAUGCCUGGAAUGGUUUGCCUUUGAAAUGUUUUUUUUUCGCCUAAGGAUAGGUCUGCGGCUGAUUAGGUCGUUGGUGGGGUAAUGGCCCACCAAGCCGAUGGUCGGUACGGGUUGUGAGAGCAAGGGCCCGGAGAUGGAACCUGAGGCAAGGUUCCAGACCCUACGGGGUGCAGCAGGCGCGAAACCUCCGCAAUGUACGAAAGUGCGACGGGGGGAUCCCAAGUGUUAUGCUUUUUUGUAUGACUUUUCAUUAGUGUAAAAAGCUUUUAGAAUAAGAGCUGGGCAAGACCGGUGCCAGCCGCCGCGGUAACACCGGCAGCUCGAGUGGUAGCUGUUUUUAUUGGGCCUAAAGCGUUCGUAGCCGGUUUGAUAAGUCUUUGGUGAAAGCUUGUAGCUUAACUAUAAGAAUUGCUGGAGAUACUAUUAGACUUGAAGUCGGGAGAGGUUAGAGGUACUACCGGGGUAGGGGUGAAAUCCUAUAAUCCUGGGAGGACCACCUGUGGCGAAGGCGUCUAACUGGAACGAUCUUGACGGUGAGUAACGAAAGCCAGGGGCGCGAACCGGAUUAGAUACCCGGGUAGUCCUGGCCGUAAACGAUGUGGACUUGGUGUUGGAAUGGCUUUGAGUUGUUCCGGUGCCGAAGGGAAGCUGUUAAGUCCACCGCCUGGGAAGUACGGUCGCAAGACUGAAACUUAA
This 760-nucleotide ribosomal RNA is filed under the name uncultured archaeon. RNAcentral describes it as "bacterial SSU rRNA". It matches the Rfam family "Archaeal small subunit ribosomal RNA", at positions 102 to 859 of the family's 1478-position model. The record is from RNAcentral.